Molecule: ribosomal RNA, 704 nt
Filed under: Drosophila melanogaster (fruit fly)
Lineage: Eukaryota; Metazoa; Arthropoda; Insecta; Diptera; Drosophilidae
Description: eukaryotic LSU rRNA
Rfam family: Eukaryotic large subunit ribosomal RNA
Source: RNAcentral
UUAUAUACAACCUCAACUCAUAUGGGACUACCCCCUGAAUUUAAGCAUAUUAAUUAGGGGAGGAAAAGAAACUAACAAGGAUUUUCUUAGUAGCGGCGAGCAAACAGAAAACAGUUCAGCACUAAGUCACUUUGUCUAUAUGGCAAAUGUGAGAUGCAGUGUAUGGAGCGUCAAUAUUCUAGUAUGAGAAAUUAACGAUUUAAGUCCUUCUUAAAUGAGGCCAUUUACCCAUAGAGGGUGCCAGGCCCGUAUAACGUUAAUGAUUACUAGAUGAUGUUUCCAAAGAGUCAUGUUGCUUGAUAGUGCAGCACUUAGUGGGUGGUAAACUCCAUCUAAAACUAAAUAUAACCAUGAGACCGAUAGUAAACAAGUACCGUGAGGGAAAGUUGAAAAGAACUCUGAAUAGAGAGUUAAACAGUACGUGAAACUGCUUAGAGGUUAAGCCCGAUGAACCUGAAUAUCCGUUAUGGAAAAUUCAUCAUUAAAUUGUAAUAUUAAAAUAAUAUUAUGAGAAUAGUGUGCAUUUUUUCCAUAUAAGGACAUUGUAAUCUAUUAGCAUAUCCCAAAUUUAUCAUAAAAUAUAACUUAUAGUUUAUUCCAAUUAAAUUGCUUGCAUUUUAACACAGAAUAAAUGUUAUUAAUUUGAUAAAGUGCUGAUAGAUUUAUAUGAUUACAGUGCGUUAAUUUUUCGGAAUUAUAUAAUG